Molecule: ribosomal RNA, 433 nt
Filed under: uncultured bacterium
Lineage: Bacteria
Description: partial 16S ribosomal RNA
Rfam family: Bacterial small subunit ribosomal RNA
Source: RNAcentral
AACGAACGCUGGCGGCAUGCCUAACACAUGCAAGUCGAACGAGACCUUCGGGUCUAGUGGCGCACGGGUGCGUAACGCGUGGGAACCUGCCCUUAGGUUCGGAAUAACUCCCCGAAAGGGGUGCUAAUACCGGAUAAUGUCUUCGGACCAAAGAUUUAUCGCCUUUGGAUGGGCCCGCGUUGGAUUAGCUAGUUGGUAGGGUAAAAGCCUACCAAGGCGACGAUCCAUAGCUGGUCUGAGAGGAUGAUCAGCCACACUGGGACUGAGACACGGCCCAGACUCCUACGGGAGGCAGCAGUGGGGAACAUUGGACAAUGGGCGAAAGCCUGAUCCAGCAAUGCCGCGUGAGUGAUGAAGGCCUUAGGGUUGUAAAGCUCUUUUACCCGGGAUGAUAAUGUCAGUACCGGGAGAAUAAGCUCCGGCUAACUCCGUG